RNAcentral lists this unclassified non-coding RNA (1222 nucleotides) under Hevea brasiliensis (rubber tree). The record is from RNAcentral. Lineage: Eukaryota; Viridiplantae; Streptophyta; Magnoliopsida; Malpighiales; Euphorbiaceae.
CUGAAGUACACUUCUUUCUUUCAUAAUAUGAAUGCUAGUGCCCUCCGAACAAUGAAGGUCAUGCGUUCUGAAAACUCUUUUGAAGAGCUAUUAAAUCUAGUAGAGAUGAAUCAUCAAUUGGCUUGUGAUCCUGAGGUUGGUGGUUGUGGGAAGCUUAACUGUAUCCAUCAUAUUCUGUCAACUGCACCACAUGUUUUUACAACAGUUCUGGGAUGGCAAAAUACAUGUGAAAGUGCUGAGGAUAUAGCAGCAACAUUGGCAGCUAUUAAUACUGAGAUCGACAUUGGCACUCUGUACCGUGGUCUAGAUCUGAAAAACAUGCAUAGCUUGGUUUCAGUGGUUUGCUAUUAUGGGCAACAUUAUCAUUGCUUUGCCUAUAGUCAGGACCAUGAACGAUGGACCAUGUAUGAUGACAAAACUGUCAAGGUAAUUGGCAGCUGGGUGGAUGUUCUUUCCAUGUGUGAAAGAGGGCACUUGCAACCUCAGGUUCUUUUCUUUGAAGCUGUAAACUAGUUAGUGGAACUUGUCAAAUUAUUCUCUGCACAGAAGAGCACUGAGUUCAGCAUGGCUUGACAUUUGAUUGCUGUCUGUGGUGAGAUGUUUGUAGUGUUGCAUUGUAGCUCUACCCUGACGCAUUUCAUAUGGUGAAAUAUACAGCUUGGCUUCAGUUUUGAUACAAAAUGAGAGUUGUGAUAUAAGAUCAAAAGUUUUGUCACAUAGAUAGGAGGUUUUCUUGGAAAAAUGAUAUUCUCAGGGAAGAAUAACUAUCAAGGAAAUUUUCUUCUUCAAGCUUUCGGCUAGAAGAAAUCAGUAACACAAUAGACUGGUGUGUAGAAUUCUUGGGACUCUGUGAAUCAAAAAGUAUCGUCUGGGUAAUCAAGAUUUGUCGAUGGAAUUUUCUUUUUCUUUCGUGGAUCUUUCAAAUAAGGUGGGUGGUUGAGAAGAAGAGCAGUAAUUUUCUUGGUUACCAGCCUGUGAAUGCAUUGAAACUUAUGAUGCUUUUUGUAAGGUGGCAAAUAAUGAUCGGUGUUACCAGGAGCAUAUAGUAAUAGCAAUUGUAAGUGGGGAAUUUAGUUAAAAAUGGAUUCAAACUUUCUUUUAGAUGCAAAAUUUUGAGAAAUUUCCCCCUUUUGUAUAGAUUACAUCAUGGCCCUUCGGGUUUUCAACUUUUCAUAUGCAGCUUCUUGUUGUCGAAUAUGAUCAUGAUGUAAUGACGAUGGGG